Long non-coding RNA from Harpia harpyja (harpy eagle), 412 nucleotides. RefSeq lists it as uncharacterized. The transcript has 4 exons. The record is from RefSeq and is a predicted model, not a curated record. NCBI's taxonomy places the organism in Eukaryota, Metazoa, Chordata, Aves, Accipitriformes, Accipitridae.
GGACCACCAGGCAGAAGCCUUGCUGCACGCACCACCCACCUCUCUGCUGGACGUCCUCAAAGAAGCUGGGGGAGACGCGGUGGUGGAGUCCGAAACGGCAGAGGCACCCGUUGCUUUGGCUCCAACCACCCCAGGGACCACAGUAGACUCGCUGGGAUGCACAGAAGGACUAAAGAGCGUUUCAGAGGAAAGAAGGUUUGCAGGCUCCCCCCAGGAAAAGGAAAACCGAAAGAAAAGAAAGAGAAAACAGGCCUGGGCAGAGGAGAAGGAAUGCCAACGAGAAAAGAAAAGAAGGAAGAGAGAAAAAGAUGGGGACUUAAAAGAAGCGGGAAGGUCCAGCAGGUCAAGAAGCCCAGGUGCCGUUUCCCUGUUACUGGCUGAAGCCCUGUGACUCCCGGGCCCGCCCCCCGCC